This 480-nucleotide ribosomal RNA is filed under the name uncultured bacterium. RNAcentral describes it as "bacterial SSU rRNA". It matches the Rfam family "Bacterial small subunit ribosomal RNA", at positions 28 to 518 of the family's 1533-position model. The record is from RNAcentral.
GACGAACGCUGGCGGCGUGCUUAACACAUGCAAGUCAAGGGGGCCCAGCAAUGGGCAACCGGCGAACGGGUGCGUAACACGUGAGCAACCUACCGAACUGUGGGGGAUAGCCGGCCUAACGGCCGAGUAAUACCGCAUACGCUUUCAGUGAGGCAUUUCAUUGAAAGGAAACCUACGGGACAGAUCGAGGGGCUCGCGGCCUACCAGCUAGUUGGCGAGGUAACGGCUCACCAAGGCAACGACGGGUAGCUGGUCUGAGAGGAUGGCCAGCCACAUUGGGACUGAGAUACGGCCCAGACUCCUACGGGAGGCAGCAGUGGGGAAUCUUGCGCAAUGGCCUAACGGCUGACGCAGCGACGCCGCGUGUGGGAUGAAGCUCUUCGGAGUGUAAACCACUGUUGCCCGGGACGAAUAGCUCGAUUAAUCGAGCCUGACGGUACCGGGUGAGGAAGCACCGGCUAACUCCGUGACAGCAGCCGC